GAGAACAACGUAACAAAACCUUAUCGAUAAACAAUUGGAGGGCAAGUCUGGUGCCAGCAGCCGCGGUAAUUCCAGCUCCAAUAGCGUAUAUUAACGUUGUUGCAGUUAAAAAGCUCGUAGUUGAAAUGAAGGGUGGUUGUGUAAUGAAUACAUUCGUGUAUUUUGUUAUUCUACUACCCUCCUUCUAAAUUCGAUAUAUGAGUAUUAAUUUACUUGUAUAUGGUUUUAGACCUUUACUGUGAGAAAAUUAGAGUGUUCAAAGCAGGCAUUUGCUUGAAUAUAUUAGCAUGGAAUAAUCAUGUAUGAUUUUCAUGAUGUAUUUGAUUGGUUUGGUUCAUGAGAAUAAGAUUAAAAGGGACAGUUGGGGGUAUUCAUAUUCAAUAGUCAGAGGUGAAAUUCUCGGAUUUAUGGAAGAUGAACAAGUGCGAAAGCAUUUACCAAGGAUGUUUUCAUUAAUCAAGAACGAAAGUUAGGGGAUCGAAGAGGAUUAGAUACCCUCGUAGUCUUAA
Molecule: ribosomal RNA, 509 nt
Filed under: Blastocystis sp. subtype 3
Lineage: Eukaryota; Bigyra; Opalinata; Blastocystidae
Description: SSU rRNA
Rfam family: Eukaryotic small subunit ribosomal RNA
Source: RNAcentral